RNAcentral lists this transfer RNA (72 nucleotides) under Frateuria aurantia DSM 6220. It matches the Rfam family "tRNA". From Rfam's summary of the family: Transfer RNA (tRNA) molecules are approximately 80 nucleotides in length. Their secondary structure includes four short double-helical elements and three loops (D, anti-codon, and T loops). Further hydrogen bonds mediate the characteristic L-shaped molecular structure. tRNAs have two regions of fundamental functional importance: the anti-codon, which is responsible for specific mRNA codon recognition, and the 3' end, to which the tRNAs corresponding amino acid is attached (by aminoacyl-tRNA synthetases). tRNAs cope with the degeneracy of the genetic code in two manners: having more than one tRNA (with a specific anti-codon) for a particular amino acid; and 'wobble' base-pairing, i.e. permitting non-standard base-pairing at the 3rd anti-codon position. The record is from Rfam by way of RNAcentral. RNAcentral also lists the same sequence under 1 other name. Lineage: Bacteria; Pseudomonadati; Pseudomonadota; Gammaproteobacteria; Lysobacterales; Rhodanobacteraceae.
GGGCGCUUAGCUCAGCGGUAGAGCGUCGCCCUUACAAGGCGAGGGUCGUAGGUUCGAUCCCUACAGCGCCCA